UUAAAACCAAAUUUACAUAAUUCAACUAUUUCAACCGUCUACUAUCAAUAUAAUAUAAAACCCAUCAUUCACAUCACACGCAGAAUAAAAGAAAAAUUGAGACGAUAUCAAUCAAUCACAUAAAAACCAAGAAUUAACUAAGAGUAAGAUGAGAGAGAUAGACCUUAAAUUUAGUGUUUCGAACUGUAAUUAUUAUUUGAUCGUACUUUUGAUUUCAAACCGAACAGUUGACCAGAGCUCACGAUCUGAACCUCAUUGGAACCUCAACUAAUACUGAAAUCUCGAGUAUGAACCAAUUGUAGAAGAAAAAAUCCCUCAAAAUUCGAUUCAAAAAAAGACCCGCGAUAACUCAAAAGGAAAACCCAAACAAUGACACCUAAAUCUGACCAAGAUUUGAGUCAUGAAUGAAAUUACACAUCUAUUUAAAUCACCGUUGGAACUUUUUGAUGAGAUGCAAUGGGGCGAAAAAGAUGGGUCAAUUUUUGGUCGAGUUUUCGAAUGCUUUUCGGUGAGGUUUCCUGGUGGAUUUUGGUGGUUAGGGUUUCUGGUCUCCAAUGUUUCCCGAUGGUUUGACCGGAACGAUCAGCUCCGAUGAAGGUUGCUCCACGGUUGGUAUGGGAAUUGUUUGUUCUGGUGAAAUUUCACCAGAAAUUAGAACAAAAACAGCUAUUUCUCUCUAUUUUUCUCUCUUUCUCCUCUCUCUCGCCACUCUUCUCUCUUAAUCUCUCCCUCCAAUUUCCUCACCGUCCCUCUGUGUGUGUACAGUUUAAUGUGUAGAGCUGUGUGUGUUCUGUGAGGGGUUCUGAGAGUGCAUGAAGAAGAAGAAAGGAAAAGGUGGAAUUCCCC
RNAcentral lists this long non-coding RNA (846 nucleotides) under Capsicum annuum. RNAcentral's name for it is "long non-coding RNA (CANN_LNC005964)". The record is from RNAcentral. Lineage: Eukaryota; Viridiplantae; Streptophyta; Magnoliopsida; Solanales; Solanaceae.